AUACGUAGGUGGCAAGCGUUAUCCGGAUUUACUGGGUGUAAAGGGCGUGUAGGCGGGACUGCAAGUCAGAUGUGAAAACUAUGGGCUCAACCCAUAGCCUGCAUUUGAAACUGUGGUUCUUGAGUGAUGGAGAGGCAGGCGGAAUUCCGUGUGUAGCGGUGAAAUGCGUAGAUAUACGGAGGAACACCAGUGGCGAAGGCGACCUGCUGGACAUUAACUGACGCUGAGGCGCGAAAGCGUGGGGAGC
This 247-nucleotide ribosomal RNA is filed under the name uncultured bacterium. RNAcentral's name for it is "partial 16S ribosomal RNA". It matches the Rfam family "Bacterial small subunit ribosomal RNA", at positions 523 to 769 of the family's 1533-position model. The record is from RNAcentral.